RNAcentral lists this ribosomal RNA (253 nucleotides) under uncultured bacterium. RNAcentral describes it as "partial 16S ribosomal RNA". It matches the Rfam family "Bacterial small subunit ribosomal RNA", at positions 524 to 776 of the family's 1533-position model. The record is from RNAcentral.
CACGGGGGGAGCAAGCGUUGUUCGGAAUCACUGGGCGUAAAGGGCGUGUAGGCGGUCAGGUAAGUGAGAUGUGAAAUGCCCGGGCUCACCUCGGGAUCGGCAUCUCAUACUGCUUGGCUUGAGUACGGGAGAGGGUGUGGGAAUUCCUGGUGUAGCGGUGAAAUGCGUAGAUAUCAGGAGGAACACCGGUGGCGAAGGCGCACACCUGGCCCGAUACUGACGCUGAGGCGCGAAAGCUAGGGGAGCAAACGGG